This 72-nucleotide transfer RNA is filed under the name Escherichia coli. RNAcentral's name for it is "tRNA-Asn". It matches the Rfam family "tRNA". Rfam says of the family: Transfer RNA (tRNA) molecules are approximately 80 nucleotides in length. Their secondary structure includes four short double-helical elements and three loops (D, anti-codon, and T loops). The record is from RNAcentral. Lineage: Bacteria; Pseudomonadati; Pseudomonadota; Gammaproteobacteria; Enterobacterales; Enterobacteriaceae.
GGUGUAGCUCAGCGGUAGAGCAGUUGGCUGUUAACCAACUGGUCGGUGGUUCGACUCCAUCACUCCCCACCA